AUACUUGUAAAGGAACUCGGCAAAUUGUCUUCAUAAGUUAGACGAUAUGAAGAACCAUUGAAUUUUAAGACUUGUACUGUGCCCUAAAGGCUAUAUUCAUUAUUGGAUAUUUCGGUAUAUAGUUCACUAUACUGGGCAUUUCCGAUAGGAUAUGUAUAAAGGUAAAGGAGUAAAAUUAAAAUUCCGGUGGUGUCACAAAAUCGGAGGCCCCGACUGUUUACUUAAAACACAGCUUUCUGCUACGAAUAAUAUCUUUGUAUAGAAAGCGAAUUUUGCCCAAUGCCAUUAAUAUAAAGUUGAUAAGCGCAUAGCGUAUUUAUUAACUGAAGUUCUGGUCAAUGGCGGUCUUAUCUAUGAGGAUCCUAAGGUAGCAAAAUUAAUUGUCCAUUAAAUGUGGUCCUGACUGAAUAAAGUAACGAUGGUCUCACUGUCUCUACAAGUAUCUCAGUGAAAUUGAAUUAGCCGUGCAGAUGCGGUUUAACUUCG
RNAcentral lists this ribosomal RNA (486 nucleotides) under Tulasnella asymmetrica. RNAcentral's name for it is "partial large subunit ribosomal RNA". It matches the Rfam family "Bacterial large subunit ribosomal RNA", at positions 1698 to 2074 of the family's 2925-position model. The record is from RNAcentral. Lineage: Eukaryota; Fungi; Basidiomycota; Agaricomycetes; Cantharellales; Tulasnellaceae.